Molecule: non-coding RNA, 625 nt
Organism: Schizosaccharomyces pombe (fission yeast)
Lineage: Eukaryota; Fungi; Ascomycota; Schizosaccharomycetes; Schizosaccharomycetales; Schizosaccharomycetaceae
Source: the annotation of a GenBank genome assembly
CAUAAAGCGAGAGGUAAACUACUCCUUUUUUAACAAAUUUGCCUGGUUAAACAAUAUACUUUACCAAGUAAGAUAAGUAAAGUUGUUUUUUCCGAAUUCAAAGAUCACAACACAUUCUUUUGAAUUAGAUUUUGGUGCAAAUUUUGGCAUGCUGACUGAGGUUCAAAAGCAAAUACUGUUUCAUUUGGAAUCAGUGUUGAAUAAAUGCGAAUUCCUGUAAGUUCAUCCCUAGUUUAUGACAUUAUCAUUUUUUUUAAUAUGAUGAAUUCUAAUAUGUGUUAAAUACAGUAAAAUGAAUUUACAAAAGGCAAUUGUUUUGAGCAUUGAACUUCAACAAGUUCAGGAUGAGCAGCUGCGCAAGAUUAACGCUACAGAAUAAGAGGUUUUGUAAGGUUGCUCUCUAAUUAAGGCUUUACUUUUCAUUCAUGAAAUAUCGCAUAUUCAUUUCCAUCGCUUCUUUAGAUUGCAUUCAUUAUGCAUAAUACGCAGAGUUACUUACUAUUAAUAAAGCUGUUAGGUACCUAAAGAGGUAAAAACUCGUUUAAAGUAUUAAAGAAAACUAUAGAAUUGGAACCUGUUUAGUAAGCCCGAUAGCAUUUAAAAAUAAAAAAAACUCUAAUUUGAG